Molecule: small nucleolar RNA, 120 nt
Organism: Jaculus jaculus (lesser Egyptian jerboa)
Lineage: Eukaryota; Metazoa; Chordata; Mammalia; Rodentia; Dipodidae
Source: Ensembl
AAGCAAUACUCUGUGGCAGAUAAUCAAAACCAACACAAUUUGAACUUGCUAUAGCAAGAAAGUCUAACCUCUUCUGGUGUUCUUUCCCAUGAGAAAAGCCAUUACAUAGACUUAAACAGU